This 161-nucleotide ribosomal RNA is filed under the name Centaurea melitensis. RNAcentral describes it as "5.8S ribosomal RNA". It matches the Rfam family "5.8S ribosomal RNA". From Rfam's summary of the family: 5.8S ribosomal RNA (5.8S rRNA) is a component of the large subunit of the eukaryotic ribosome. Lineage: Eukaryota; Viridiplantae; Streptophyta; Magnoliopsida; Asterales; Asteraceae. The record is from RNAcentral. RNAcentral also lists the same sequence under 2 other names.
ACGACUCUCGGCAACGGAUAUCUCGGCUCAUGCAUCGAUGAAGAACGUAGCAAAAUGCGAUACUUGGUGUGAAUUGCAGAAUCCCGUGAACCAUCGAGUUUUUGAACGCAAGUUGCGCCCGAAGCCAUUCGGCCGAGGGCACGUCUGCCUGGGCGUCACGC